RNAcentral lists this long non-coding RNA (2397 nucleotides) under Gouania willdenowi (blunt-snouted clingfish). Its description in RNAcentral is "lncRNA (ENSGWIG00000019849.1)". Lineage: Eukaryota; Metazoa; Chordata; Actinopteri; Blenniiformes; Gobiesocidae. The record is from RNAcentral.
CACAGAUCGGGUUUGGUGUCAGUCGUCAGAAGCUGAAUUGUUUGAAUAGUCUGAGUGAUCAGAAGAUCUCCUCCCUCUGGGUCCUUCCAGCACUGGUAUGUUGGCACGUCACGUGUUUGUGUAGCACUCGAUGAAAGGAGGAAGAAAACAGCAGCAGGAGCAGGAGGGGGCGGGCACUAACACCUCAAACCCGCCCAUGACGUCACAUCAUGUCAUGUCACAUCUAACUCCAGUGAGGACGCACGAGGAGCAGGUGGAACAAGUUGGGCAACAUUCCUUCAGUCAUCCUCCCUGUGGCGUUCUUCAAAAUCUGUGUCACUCGCUCUGUGCAGAUGCAGUGACUGAGUGUGUGUCUACGGAGCAGAACAUGGACUUCACCCAGUCUUUCACGGUCCUCAAUGAGCGACUGAAGCCCCGCUCGUCCACCAGCGAGCAGCUCCACCUGUCUCUGAACCGACUGGAGGACAGAGAGUCGGCCUCGCUGAGGAGGAAACCUCUGACCAACCGACCCACGGUUCUGUCCUCUCGGACCAACGAAGACCUCAGUGAUCUUGGUUCUGACGACGUGGACGAAGAUUACGUCAGUAAUUACCUGCCCUUCACCACCUGCUUGCUGUCUGAGUUGAAUUUAAAGGACUUUAGUGAUGAUAACAGUUCUACGAAGUCCGAGGAGAUCGAUGGCGCGGGCGUGUCCUCUGACGGGGACUCGGUCACACAGACCCCUGGAGGUGGGAGCCCCUUCCAGAGGGACAUCAACGAAGGGUUGCCAGACCUGUUGAAGAGUGGAAGGCCGCUCACCAGACGCAGAACGGUUGGCCAUGUUUCAGACACGCUCAAAGAGGUAAAAAAAGAAGUGGAACUGACCCGGAAACGAAGUGUCAAGCUCAAAGCUCGUUUGGACAAACUGCGAGGGAAAACAGACGAACAAAAAUGGGACAAAGAGCGGGUCACAGAUGAGGUUUUGUCUGUGUUGAGGCUGCUCUACCCACUGCUGGAGCCCCAGGAAACCCUCAUUGAGCCCCUGGAGGGAGAAAAGCGUCUGGAUGGAGCCCUGGAGCAGCUGCAGAAGCUGUCUCGGAGGCUGGCAGUGAGUCGCAUUGCUAAACAGGACUUCAGCUCUGGAGGAAAGCCCUCAGAGGACAGUGCCAUCCUAAAGCAGGCGCUACGAGACAGAGACGAGGCCAUAGAGAAGAAACAAGCCAUGGAGGCCGAACUGCUCCGAAGCAGGACGGAGAUGAUGCUGCUCAACAACCAAGUGCUAGAGGCCGCACAGAAACGCCUGGAGAUGUCGCUGGAGGUCGAGGCGUGGAAGGAGGAUUUCCAGCUCCUGCUCCACCAGCAGGUCCAGAACCAGCAGCUGGCCGAGCAGGCCCAGAAGAAGACCUCUCGUCUGGGCAUCCUGAGGAGAAACAACAGAGCACCCAUCCAGCGUCCAUCCAACUUCCCUAUAAACUCCCCUCCAGCCCAGUCUACAGCCGGGCCCAGCCAGGCCUCCAGUACCAGAGCCGCAGCGCUGGCUGCUGCUGGGCCUCCUUCUCCCAAACCGCCUCAGCGCCACUGGAUGGAUAGGCUAAGACGGCCCAAGUCCAGUCGUACUGUAGACCAGGAGACAUCAGGUCAGGAUUAUGACUCAAGGAGGGAUGAAGGUUUCCAGGACAUAUCGCUCAACUGAGAGUUAAACUCCAGCUGUAAUACGUUAAAACCUAACGUCAAACGUGACAUCAACACAACACGUUACAACUCAGCCUCAGGUCUUAAAGUGUCUAAAACAUGCUUUGUGACGCAUUCGUAGAAUCAUAAAUAUUGAAUGCAGAUGAGUUGGUGACGCUCCAAAGCCCAAAAAUCCUCAGUGACAUUUGAAGCUCCAAUCAAAGCAGCAUAUUUUCCUUUACAUGAGUCAGUUGAGUGACAGGUAUGUAUCCUUCUGUUUGCUUGUAUAUUUGUAGGCUAGGCAACAAAAAAUAUCCACCUGCUCAAAUUACAAACAAUUACUCAGCGUAUAACUAACGUUAAAUGUGAAAAGUAAUUACUCGUGCCUGUCCUUAAAAUAAGAGCCAUGUGAUUUCUACCAGCUGAUCAGUAUUUAGAGAGAAAAUUGAUCAAAAUCAGCAAGAGUUUAUAAAGUCUAUAAUGCUUAUUUAGAGUUUUUGGCGUUUGAUACACAUUGGAUAUGAGUUCAGCAGUCGUUAUUUAUUUUACAAAUGAACAUUUUAAAUCUUCAUGAAAUAACUUCAUAAAUUUGUGCUUUCAUAUCCACUACUACCUAAAACACAUGUAACACAUACAGUAUACAUAUUUAUGACCAGAUUGCUUAACUCUUCUUAUCUUUGGACUUGCAGAUGGUGACAUUUAUCUUCUGGCCUUUCAAAAUAAAAGUUCCUGAUUUUAAACUUUACA